UCGAACAGGGCGGUGCCUUGACGGUACCUAACCAGAAAGCCACGGCUAACUACGUGCCAGCAGCCGCGGUAAUACGUAGGUGGCAAGCGUUGUCCGGAAUUAUUGGGCGUAAAGCGCGCGCAGGCGGUUUCUUAAGUCUGAUGUGAAAGCCCCCGGCUCAACCGGGGAGGGUCAUUGGAAACUGGGGAACUUGAGUGCAGAAGAGGAGAGUGGAAUUCCACGUGUAGCGGUGAAAUGCGUAGAGAUGUGGAGGAACACCAGUGGCGAAGGCGACUCUCUGGUCUGUAACUGACGCUGAGGCGCGAAAGCGUGGGGAGCGAACAGGAUUAGAUACCCUGGUAGUCCACGCCGUAAACGAUGAGUGCUAAGUGUUAGAGGGUUUCCGCCCUUUAGUGCUGCAGCAAACGCAUUAAGCACUCCGCCUGGGGAGUACGGUCGCAAGACUGAAACUCAAAGGAAUUGACGGGGGCCCGCACAAGCGGUGGAGCAUGUGGUUUAAUUCGAAGCAACGCGAAGAACCUUACCAGGUCUUGACAUCCUCUGACACCCCUAGAGAUAGGGCUUCCCCUUCGGGGGCAGAGUGACAGGUGGUGCAUGGUUGUCGUCAGCUCGUGUCGUGAGAUGUUGGGUUAAGUCCCGCAACGAGCGCAACCCUUGAUCUUAGUUGCCAGCAUUCAGUUGGGCACUCUAAGGUGACUGCCGGUGACAAACCGGAGGAAGGUGGGGAUGACGUCAAAUCAUCAUGCCCCUUAUGACCUGGGCUACACACGUGCUACAAUGGGCAGAACAAAGGGCAGCGAAGCCGCGAGGCUAAGCCAAUCCCACAAAUCUGCUCUCAGUUCGGAUCGCAGUCUGCAACUCGAC
Molecule: ribosomal RNA, 864 nt
Filed under: Bacillus sonorensis
Lineage: Bacteria; Bacillati; Bacillota; Bacilli; Caryophanales; Bacillaceae
Description: bacterial SSU rRNA
Rfam family: Bacterial small subunit ribosomal RNA
Source: RNAcentral